RNAcentral lists this ribosomal RNA (370 nucleotides) under uncultured bacterium. Its description in RNAcentral is "partial 16S ribosomal RNA". It matches the Rfam family "Bacterial small subunit ribosomal RNA", at positions 338 to 724 of the family's 1533-position model. The record is from RNAcentral.
CCUACGGGAGGCUGCAGUGGGGAAUAUUGCACAAUGGGGGGAACCCUGAUGCAGCGACGCCGCGUGGGUGAAGGAGUAUUUCGGUAUGUAAAGCCCUAUCAGCAGGGAAGAACAAUGACGGUACCUGACUAAGAAGCACCGGCUAAAUACGUGCCAGCAGCCGCGGUAAUACGUAUGGUGCAAGCGUUAUCCGGAUUUACUGGGUGUAAAGGGAGCGCAGGCGGCGCGUUAAGCCUGGUGUGAAAGCCCGCGGCCCAACCGCGGGCCUGAAUGGGGAACGGGCGCGCGGGAGUGCCGUAGGGUUAGGCGGAAUUCCUAGUGUAGCGGGGAAAGGCGUAGAUAUUAGGCGGAACACUAGUGGGGAAGGCGG